Molecule: long non-coding RNA, 201 nt
Filed under: Solanum tuberosum (potato)
Lineage: Eukaryota; Viridiplantae; Streptophyta; Magnoliopsida; Solanales; Solanaceae
Description: long non-coding RNA (STUB_LNC008873)
Source: RNAcentral
ACAUAUUUUCUUGAAGAAUCGGAGGAGUUCAUAUUUGGAUUUGCCGCCUAAUCCCCCAGAACUAGGGUAGAAAUUUUUGGGCUAUGUAAUUUUUUUUUACUAGGUAAUAUGGGUUGUCUAAAUUUUUUUAAAAAAAUGUUAAUAAUAAAAAAGGAAUAAUGUGACAUGACAUCCUAUUAGGAGAGAGAUAAUAUUUUUUUU